CUCAAUCCUUCCUUUACUCGGAUCGUCCGGCACGUUCCUGCCGGUGAAGGGACACAUCA
This is a regulatory RNA element of Streptomyces vietnamensis, 59 nucleotides long. It matches the Rfam family "msiK RNA". Lineage: Bacteria; Bacillati; Actinomycetota; Actinomycetes; Kitasatosporales; Streptomycetaceae. The record is from Rfam.